CCAAGCCUAAGUACUCCUCAGUGACCGAUAGUGCACCAGUACCGUGAGGGAAAGGUGAAAAGCACCCCGACAAGGGGAGUGAAACAGUUCCUGAAACCGGAUGCCUACAAGCAGUCGGAGCCUCUUUACGGGGUGACGGCGUACCUUUUGUAUAAUGGGUCAGCGACUUAGAGUAUGCAGCAAGCUUAAGCCGAUAGGUGGAGGCGCAGCGAAAGCGAGUCUGAAUAGGGCGACCGAGUUGCAUGCUUUAGACCCGAAACCUGAUGAUCUAGCCAUGGGCAGGUUGAAGGUGCGGUAACACGCACUGGAGGACCGAACUCACGCCUGUUGAAAAAGUCGGAGAUGACCUGUGGCUAGGGGUGAAAGGCCAAUCAAAUCAGGAAAUAGCUGGUUCUCCGCGAAAGCUAUUUAGGUAGCGCCUCGGACGAA
Molecule: ribosomal RNA, 429 nt
Filed under: Climacostomum virens
Lineage: Eukaryota; Ciliophora; Heterotrichea; Heterotrichida; Climacostomidae
Description: partial Bacterial large subunit ribosomal RNA
Rfam family: Bacterial large subunit ribosomal RNA
Source: RNAcentral